RNAcentral lists this ribosomal RNA (701 nucleotides) under uncultured bacterium. RNAcentral describes it as "bacterial SSU rRNA". It matches the Rfam family "Bacterial small subunit ribosomal RNA", at positions 55 to 748 of the family's 1533-position model. The record is from RNAcentral.
AUGCAGUCGAGCGGUAGCACAGGGAGCUUGCUCCUGGGUGAGGAGCGGCGGACGGGUGAGUAAUGUCUGGGAAACUGCCUGAUGGAGGGGGAUAACUACUGGAAACGGUAGCUAAUACCGCAUAACGUCGCAAGACCAAAGAGGGGGACCUUCGGGCCUCUUGCCAUCAGAUGUGCCCAGAUGGGAUUAGCUAGUAGGUGGGGUAAUGGCUCACCUAGGCGACGAUCCCUAGCUGGUCUGAGAGGAUGACCAGCCACACUGGAACUGAGACACGGUCCAGACUCCUACGGGAGGCAGCAGUGGGGAAUAUUGCACGAUGGGCGCAAGCCUGAUGCAGCCAUGCCGCGUGUAUGAAGAAGGCCUUCGGGUUGUAAAGUACUUUCAGCGAGGAGGAAGGCAUUGUGGUUAAUAACCACAGUGAUUGACGUUACUCGCAGAAGAAGCACCGGCUAACUCCGUGCCAGCAGCCGCGGUAAUACGGAGGGUGCAAGCGUUAAUCGGAAUUACUGGGCGUAAAGCGCACGCAGGCGGUCUGUCAAGUCGGAUGUGAAAUCCCCGGGCUCAACCUGGGAACUGCAUUCGAAACUGGCAGGCUAGAGUCUUGUAGAGGGGGGUAGAAUUCCAGGUGUAGCGGUGAAAUGCGUAGAGAUCUGGAGGAAUACCGGUGGCGAAGGCGGCCCCCUGGACAAAGACUGACGCUC